Molecule: ribosomal RNA, 427 nt
Filed under: uncultured bacterium
Lineage: Bacteria
Description: partial 16S ribosomal RNA
Rfam family: Bacterial small subunit ribosomal RNA
Source: RNAcentral
GUGGGGAAUAUUGCACAAUGGGCGAAAGCCUGAUGCAGCAACGCCGCGUGAAGGAUGAAGGCCUUUGGGUCGUAAACUUCUGUCCUUGGGGAAGAAAAAAAUGACGGUACCCCUGGAGGAAGUCCCGGCUAACUACGUGCCAGCAGCCGCGGUAAUACGUAGGGGGCGAGCGUUAUCCGGAAUUAUUGGGCGUAAAGAGUACGUAGGUGGUUUUUUAAGCGCAGGGUUUAAGGCGAUGGCUCAACUGUCGUUCGCCCUGUGCACUGGAAGACUUGAGUACAGGAGAGGAAAGCGGAAUUCCUAGUGUAGCUGUGAAAUGCAUAGAUAUUAGGAGGAACACCAGUGGCGAAGGCGGCUUUCUGGACUGUAACUGACACUGAGGUACGAAAGCGUGGGGAGCAAACAGGAUUAGAAACCCUGGUAGUCC